This 235-nucleotide ribosomal RNA is filed under the name uncultured bacterium. RNAcentral describes it as "partial 16S ribosomal RNA". It matches the Rfam family "Bacterial small subunit ribosomal RNA", at positions 521 to 755 of the family's 1533-position model. The record is from RNAcentral.
UAAUACGUAGGUGGCAAGCGUUGUCCGGAUUUACUGGGCGUAAAGGGCGUGCAGGCGGUCUGUUAAGUCUCGGGUGAAAGCUCCCGGCUCAACUGGGAGAGGUCCUUGGAUACUGGCAGACUUGAGGAGAGUAGAGGAGAGUGGAAUUCCCGGUGUAGUGGUGAUAUGCGGAGAUAUCGGGAGGAACACCAGUGGCGAAGGCGGCUCUCUGGGCUCUACCUGACGCUGAGACGCG